This 76-nucleotide transfer RNA is filed under the name Nitrososphaerota archaeon. RNAcentral describes it as "tRNA-Gly". It matches the Rfam family "tRNA". From Rfam's summary of the family: Transfer RNA (tRNA) molecules are approximately 80 nucleotides in length. Their secondary structure includes four short double-helical elements and three loops (D, anti-codon, and T loops). Lineage: Archaea; Thermoproteati; Nitrososphaerota. The record is from RNAcentral.
GCGGCAGUCGUCUAGUUUGGUCUAGGACAUCAGCCUGCCACGCUGGUAAUCCCGGGUUCAAAUCCCGGCUGCCGCA